Molecule: transfer RNA, 72 nt
Filed under: Ovis aries (sheep)
Lineage: Eukaryota; Metazoa; Chordata; Mammalia; Artiodactyla; Bovidae
Rfam family: tRNA
About the family: Transfer RNA (tRNA) molecules are approximately 80 nucleotides in length. Their secondary structure includes four short double-helical elements and three loops (D, anti-codon, and T loops). Further hydrogen bonds mediate the characteristic L-shaped molecular structure. tRNAs have two regions of fundamental functional importance: the anti-codon, which is responsible for specific mRNA codon recognition, and the 3' end, to which the tRNAs corresponding amino acid is attached (by aminoacyl-tRNA synthetases). tRNAs cope with the degeneracy of the genetic code in two manners: having more than one tRNA (with a specific anti-codon) for a particular amino acid; and 'wobble' base-pairing, i.e. permitting non-standard base-pairing at the 3rd anti-codon position.
Source: Rfam by way of RNAcentral
UCCCUGGUGGCUCAGACGGUAAAGCGUCUGCCUGCAAUGCGGGAGACCCAGGUUCGAUUCCUGGGUUGGGAA